Molecule: ribosomal RNA, 497 nt
Filed under: uncultured bacterium
Lineage: Bacteria
Description: partial 16S ribosomal RNA
Rfam family: Bacterial small subunit ribosomal RNA
Source: RNAcentral
GAUGAACGCUGGCGGCGUGCCUAAUACAUGCAAGUCGAGCGAACAGACGGGGAGCUUGCUCCUUUGAUGUUAGCGGCGGACGGGUGAGUAACACGUAGGUAACCUACCUAUAAGACUGGGAUAACUUCGGGAAACCGGAGCUAAUACCGGAUAAUAUUUCGAACCGCAUGGUUCGAUAGUGAAAGAUGGCUUUGCUAUCACUUAUAGAUGGACCUGCGCCGUAUUAGCUAGUUGGUAAGGUAACGGCUUACCAAGGCAACGAUACGUAGCCGACCUGAGAGGGUGAUCGGCCACACUGGAACUGAGACACGGUCCAGACUCCUACGGGAGGCAGCAGUAGGGAAUCUUCCGCAAUGGGCGAAAGCCUGACGGAGCAACGCCGCGUGAGUGAUGAAGGUCUUCGGAUCGUAAAACUCUGUUAUUAGGGAAGAACAAACGUGUAAGUAACUGUGCACGUCUUGACGGUACCUAAUCAGAAAGCCACGGCUAACUACGUG